AAGCCCUUUAACAUAGUCCUGUGAGGCUAAGAAGGAAUUCGGAUAAAAGAGCAGAGUACUAUACGUAUGUAUAUCUGCAUCCAAAUCCCCUCUUGCCAAUAGCGAGAGGGGAUUUUUUUG
Molecule: regulatory RNA element, 120 nt
Organism: Pontibacillus litoralis JSM 072002
Lineage: Bacteria; Bacillati; Bacillota; Bacilli; Caryophanales; Bacillaceae
Rfam family: PyrR binding site
About the family: This family represents the PyrR binding site and terminator structure. This RNA structure is found upstream of a variety of genes involved in pyrimidine biosynthesis and transport. The alignment also includes a portion of the antiterminator structure.
Source: Rfam